RNAcentral lists this ribosomal RNA (432 nucleotides) under uncultured bacterium. RNAcentral's name for it is "partial 16S ribosomal RNA". It matches the Rfam family "Bacterial small subunit ribosomal RNA", at positions 29 to 507 of the family's 1533-position model. The record is from RNAcentral.
AACGAACGCUGGCGGCAUGCCUAACACAUGCAAGUCGAACGAGACCUUCGGGUCUAGUGGCGCACGGGUGCGUAACGCGUGGGAACCUGCCCUUAGGUUCGGAAUAACUCCCCUAAAGGGGUGCUAAUACCGGAUAAUGUCUUCGGACCAAAGAUUUAUCGCCUUUGGAUGGGCCCGCGUUGGAUUAGCUAGUUGGUAGGGUAAAAGCCUACCAAGGCGACGAUCCAUAGCUGGUCUGAGAGGAUGAUCAGCCACACUGGGACUGAGACACGGCCAGACUCCUACGGGAGGCAGCAGUGGGGAAUAUUGGACAAUGGGCGAAAGCCUGAUCCAGCAAUGCCGCGUGAGUGAUGAAGGCCUUAGGGUUGUAAAGCUCUUUUACCCGGGAUGAUAAUGACAGUACCGGGAGAAUAAGCUCCGGCUAACUCCGUG